CGGACGGGUGAGUAACGCGUGGGGAACCUGCCCUGUACCGGGGGAUAGCAGCCGGAAACGGCUGAUAAUACCGCAUAAGCGCACGAAUGUCGCAUGACAUGGUGUGAAAAACUCCGGUGGUAUAGGAUGGACCCGCGUCUGAUUAGCCGGUUGGUGGGGUAAAAGCCUACCAAAGCGAAGAUCAGUAGCCGAGUUGAGAGACUGACCGGCCACAUUGGGACUGAGACACGGCCCAGACUCCUACGGGAGGCAGCAGCU
RNAcentral lists this ribosomal RNA (258 nucleotides) under uncultured bacterium. RNAcentral describes it as "partial 16S ribosomal RNA". It matches the Rfam family "Bacterial small subunit ribosomal RNA", at positions 99 to 355 of the family's 1533-position model. The record is from RNAcentral.